RNAcentral lists this ribosomal RNA (328 nucleotides) under uncultured eukaryote. RNAcentral describes it as "partial 18S ribosomal RNA". It matches the Rfam family "Eukaryotic small subunit ribosomal RNA", at positions 1470 to 1796 of the family's 1831-position model. The record is from RNAcentral.
CCCUUAGAUGUCAUGGGCCGCACGCGCGCUACACUGAUGCAUGCAACGAGUUUAUAACCUUGGCCUGAAAGGUCUGGGUAAUCUUUUGAACGUGCAUCGUGAUAGGGAUAGAUUAUUGCAAUUGUUAAUCUUGAACGAGGAAUUCCUAGUAAACGCGAGUCAUCAGCUCGCAUUGAUUACGUCCCUGCCCUUUGUACACACCGCCCGUCGCACCUACCGAUUGAAUGGUUCGGUGAAGAUCUCGGACUUCGAUAUUUAUUCUUUAUUGAGUUUAUAUUGUGGGAAGUUAUCUAAACCUCAUCAUUUAGAGGAAGGUGAAGUCGUAACA